Molecule: ribosomal RNA, 210 nt
Filed under: uncultured bacterium
Lineage: Bacteria
Description: partial 16S ribosomal RNA
Rfam family: Bacterial small subunit ribosomal RNA
Source: RNAcentral
CGGAUCGCAGGCUGCAACCCGCCCUGCGUGAAGUUGGAAUCGCUAGUAAUCGCGGAUCAGCAUGCCGCGGUGAAUACGUUCCCGGGCCUUGUACACACCGCCCGUCACACCAUGAGAGUCGGGAACACCCGAAGUCCGUAGCCUAACUUUAACGAGGGGGCGCGGCCGAAGGUGGGUUCGAUAAUUGGGGUGAAGUCGUAACAAGGUAAC